GAGUCAUUGUGGGUUUACACCCUAAUACUCCACCCAUUGUUUACAUUACCUUUGUUGCUUUGGCAGGCCCGUCCUCGGACCGCCGGCUCCCAGCUGGCCAGUGCCUGCCAGAGGACCUAAAACUCUUGUUUAAUCAUAUUGUCUGAGUACUAUAUAAUAGUUAAAACUUUCAACAACGGAUCUCUUGGUUCU
This 192-nucleotide unclassified non-coding RNA is filed under the name rhizosphere metagenome. RNAcentral's name for it is "partial ribosomal RNA internal transcribed spacer region". The record is from RNAcentral.